This 253-nucleotide ribosomal RNA is filed under the name uncultured bacterium. Its description in RNAcentral is "partial 16S ribosomal RNA". It matches the Rfam family "Bacterial small subunit ribosomal RNA", at positions 524 to 776 of the family's 1533-position model. The record is from RNAcentral.
UACGGAGGUGGCAAGCGUUGCUCGGAAUCACUGGGCGUAAAGGGCGCGUAGGCGGGGAGGUAAGUCGGGUGUGAAAUCCCUCGGCUCAACCGGGGAACUGCGUCCGAUACUGGUGGGCUCGAAUCCGGGAGAGGGCAGUGGAAUUCCCGGUGUAGCGGUGAAAUGCGUAGAUAUCGGGAGGAACAUCAGUGGCGAAGGCGGCUGCCUGGCCCAAUACUGACACUCAGGUGCGACAGCGUGGGGAGCAAACAGG